CCGGACGCUGCGCAACCCCAUCUCCGGCCGCCUCAAGCACCACGCCGGCGUCCACCCCAAGUUCCACGGACUCAUCACCGGCUCGCACAGAUUCUAUGGUAGGAGCAAAACAAGACAUGAUUGACCUCACCGUGCACUCUAAAAGGAAUCAUCACAAAGAUUGGAGAAGUUGCUAGGACACUUCAUAUAAACUAAAGUCUUGAAAAUGAGAAACUGAACAACUUGCAUGAAAAGGUUUUAUCUCUCUCCCUCAGCUAAGCCAACCGUGCGGCGACAGGUGGCCCAAUGUUGGAAACAUUUUCUUUAGUAAGCUUGUAGAUAGAAAUUUUGAACGGCAAGGACAUGCAAGGUUUAAGUUUUGUGAUAUUGAUGAUUCAAGUUUUCAUGUUCGGUAACAGUACACCAGUUGGGCAAUUUGGAGCAUGUUAUGCUCAGUGAAUUUUGUCUAUGCGCAGGUUAAAGACUCUCAAAUUGAUUUUAAACUUCUACGUUCAGUUACAAAGCUCUUGGUUUUGUCUGGAGGGAGCCCCCUUUUGACUCUAUUCCUGGAGCCCUAAAUAUGGAGAAUCAGGUAGCGGAGGCUUCUGAAGGUGGGGCUCGCAGUGCUCAACCACAAACUUGAUGCGCUUCACGGUGGUCCUUGGGAGCGACGAGAGGAAAACAUGAGGGAUG
Molecule: long non-coding RNA, 672 nt
Organism: Lolium rigidum
Lineage: Eukaryota; Viridiplantae; Streptophyta; Magnoliopsida; Poales; Poaceae
Exons: 7
Source: RefSeq, a predicted model, not a curated record